Molecule: long non-coding RNA, 2459 nt
Organism: Siniperca chuatsi (mandarin fish)
Lineage: Eukaryota; Metazoa; Chordata; Actinopteri; Centrarchiformes; Sinipercidae
Exons: 3
Source: RefSeq, a predicted model, not a curated record
UUCAGCUGUUGGCACUCAUUUUGGGAUUGCAGGUCUAAACUUGCUGAGGCAAAAUGAUGCCUGCAGGUAUUUUUCCAGAAGCAGCUGCUGUUAAUUGUUUGUGCCAUCAGCAUUUUUACAUUUUUUACAAACAUCAGUUUUAUUGUAAUAAAAUCUAAACAAGUGAGUAGAGCUAAACAGUUAAUGACUGAACACACAGUCUUCCAAAUCCAGUAUGACUCACAUUACAUCACACUCAGGUAAACCAAUACUACAAUUUUAUCAGGAAACAUUCCAUCAUGGAGGGAGGUGUCCUUAAUAACCCUCUGAACACAGUAAUGUAAACAACUGCACACCAUUCUUGGACCUUGCAACACAUCCAGAAUGACUAAUUCUGGAGUGUGUUCCAGAGUUCAUACACCCAGAUGGAUCACGCUGUGUUGACGGUUGGACUGACAGUUAUAAGACUACUGUGGCAAGAAGGGUGUGUAGAGAAAACUGAAGAAAUGACGAAAUGAUUGAGUCACAGAAAAACUUUGUCCUCGUGCCAGGACGGAAUUACAGCAGUGGUGUGAAUUGGCACUCCUUCAGGCAAAGAGUAAUAAUGAUCAAUCUGGAGGAGUUCCCUUAUCCUCUCUUUAUUAAGAUGACUGGUCCUCACAAGAACAGGUUGGACACGGACACACAGAGAAUGCCAGAUAGACUGUCGACGUGCUCCUGGAGACAAGUUUGCAAACUGAGUCAGCAGCUGUAUUUUUGAAUGACUCAACCAGUCCACCACAUAGCCCUUUCGUUUCUCAGAGCCCUGCCCUCAACUUUCCCUCAUACACAGGCACGUACUGCUUACGUUUACGUGAGGCCUUACCUCACCAAAUUAUCACUUCCUCCCACUUUACUAGGGUAUGUCUGCAAAUAGCCAAUAGUAAUAUAGAAAUAUUUUUCAGGGAGGUAAAUCAGCUGAGUGGUCAAUAUUAUUGGAAAGGUUAUGUAAAGAUUUAUUUUAUGUUUUAUUUUAUCUGUUGAUUCUGUUUCUUCUCACUGUGUCUUUCAUUUCACUUUUUUGCUUGAAGCUCUAUGUUUUCCAAUAAUAAUAUAGACUGAUGACAUGCUGUGGCGAGUGAUAUGGUGAAUUUUCUGCCAAGCUAAUAAUCCUGUGAUCCUGAGUCAUUUACUGUAUGAAUCAGACAUGUUGCCGGGAAGAGACUCCUACAUCUCCUUUGACUUUACUCAGACUCUGCCUAUUUUCAUACAGUAAUAGCUGCUGGAGGGCUGUUAUAAUACCACACUGCGUUUCUCUCCCUUACAAGACAGAGGCAUCUGUGAACAAGGAAGUGGAGGAGGAAAGCAAGGAGGGGAGCAGUAAACUGUAAAACAUGAUGCACUCUGUCGGUGACUCAACAGGAAAUAAUGGAGCGGGAUGCAGUUCCUGAGCUACCCAACAAUCAAAGGCAACACAAACAUCAUUUUUCUGCCCGUCCUCCUAUUACUCCCGGUGGCUGUUGGUUGUUUGAUAACUGAGCUGUCUCCUUAUGGGAUGAGGUCAAAGGCCGUGGUGCGAAGCCCACUCAGACAUUUGAGGAGCCUGAUUCCUUCCUGACGCCUCCAACUUGUCAGACCUAGCUGAAAAUCCAUUAAAUUAAAAAAGAUUAAACGAAGGGUGUGUUUUUCAAAUCACACAUUUGACUGCAGCGAUAACGUCUGAAUGAAUGGUACUGAUCCAUAACCUAAUCAUAACUUUUGUAAACCUCUUUAUGCUUUAUUUAUAAAACAAAUUAAUUAAAAAAAAAUGUAUAUACACCCUCUUUUUGGCAGUCUGCUUUGAAAUAUAAACGUCAAACAUGACUGUUCCAUGUUAGGCUGAAGGAAGUGGUGGGUGGUAACAAAUAGCAAUAAACUAGACCUGAGAAUUUCAUAAGAAUUUCUCUGUUUUUUCAUAAUUUUUGCAGCUUCAGACGUGAGUGACGAUGCCCCUUGUUUCAGCUCUGGUCCCCUAUUACAGUUUAUUAUGAGUUUACUCAUCGACUCAAAAACUCAUGAUUUAAUCGAUAGGAAUUUUAACUUCUUACACAUGUAGCAACUGUAGCUGAGGCCUCUUUUUUUUACAUAAUCAUCUAUUUUACUUCUAAUAAACGUAACUGUGAUAUAAGUCUUUUUAUUUGUUACAGCCUCUAACAUUGAUUUAUAGGAACGACAGCAUGACGAUUAAAAGGAAUGUGAAACUCAAACACAAGACAGGUUGACCGUGACUUUGAAAAUAGCAGCAGGCUUGUCUGUCAGCAGUCUGUAACAGGGCUCUAAUUACUAUUACAUGUUUGUACACAGCUGGUUCCUCUAUAAGAGAACUCCCUGUGUCACCAUGUCAGCACAUCAACCUACACAAAUGUAUUUACCAUAGGACAUGUAUGUUAAUACCUACUUACUUCAUUUCCUAUUCCAGCUCGAGACGUUGUUUAAUGAGUGGUGGGCAGACAUUUAUCUUC